UACGUAGGGUGCGAGCGUUGUCCGGAAUUAUUGGGCGUAAAGAGCUCGUAGGCGGUCUGUUGCGUCGGCUGUGAAAACCCGGGGCUCAACCCCGGGCCUGCAGCCGAUACGAGCAGACUAGAGUUCGGCAGGGGAGACUGGAAUUCCUGGUGUAGCGGUGAAAUGCGCAGAUAUCAGGAGGAACACCGGUGGCGAAGGCGGGUCUCUGGGCCGAAACUGACGCUGAGGAGCGAAAGCGUGGGGAGCGAACAGG
RNAcentral lists this ribosomal RNA (253 nucleotides) under uncultured bacterium. Its description in RNAcentral is "partial 16S ribosomal RNA". It matches the Rfam family "Bacterial small subunit ribosomal RNA", at positions 524 to 776 of the family's 1533-position model. The record is from RNAcentral.